AGAAGGACCUCGGACAGCUGUCUGCCAAGGCACAGAAGAAUGUCUUUCUUACUUUAUGAGAAAGAAAACAAACAAACAAACAAAAAGAUCUAAGGAAAUGGGAAAGAAAGGUAACCAUGGAGCUUUUUCCAAGGAGCCUAAGACAGCUAUCUCCGCCAGCCGGGGAGUGGGAAAGUUCAGCUUUGUUCUGAUGAAGGGAUAUGAGGCUUAUUUGGACCAGAAAAAAAAAAAAAUCAACUGAAUAAUCAGAUGCCUCUGGACGGGCUACAGAAGGCUCUAUCUGGUGGUGUCCAUUCUGCCUGCUGGCUUCCUGCAGAGAUGAGAGCCUCCCCCAAGACAACUGCCAUUCUCCAAAAGUCGAGUUCUUGGCAUGGAGCUGGGGCCCUCAUGAUAAGGGAUUAGAUGGUCUGGGGCCUGCUCUGGCCUUCUCCCUGCCAGCUCCACAUGGAAUUAAAAUGCCCAGAGCCAAGCUGCUCACCCAGAACCUGCACCCUACUCCACUUCCCACUCCCAAUAAAUCUGUGACUCCAUGGGUCCCCUGCAGUUGGAAAUGGGAUCAAGGCCGUUGGGAGACACCUCACUGAGUUUCCUGGAAGAAAGGAGUCGUUCCAAAGCCUCCUGAUUCUAAUGAAUCCGAGCCACAAACAAGCCUCAGUUGCUCCUAUUCAAGGAGUCUGAUUGCAUCUGGCAGUGAUUGCUGAAAAUCCUGAAGAGGAAACAGGGAAGGGAAGCAUAUUGUUUGGGGGGGUAAUAGGUGAAGACCUGCCUCUCUUGACCUAUAAUACAUUAGUGUCAGUGAACAUUUGGCAGCCUUCAGAUGAUUAGCAAUGAAGAUGAAUCAAGCAAAAAAGAGGUAGAAAUCUGCCUCAUCUGAAUCACCAGAACUGCAUACAUUUGCAUGCUGAUUAGCUGUUCUUUUGUCUGUGUUCCUAAUUAUUAUGACACAUUAUGUCUUCAUCAUGCAAGAUUCUGAUCUGUCUUGUUCAAAAUGCAUGUAGAAAAAAGUGCUGUUUAUUGAUUCAACAUGUAACUUUUAUUUUUAUGUUUGCUUUAAUUAAAUACAUAUUUG
Molecule: long non-coding RNA, 1069 nt
Filed under: Homo sapiens (human)
Lineage: Eukaryota; Metazoa; Chordata; Mammalia; Primates; Hominidae
Description: HSALNT0021565
Source: RNAcentral